AAGUCUGGUGCCAGCAGCCGCGGUAACUUCAGCUCCAAUAGCGUAUAUUAACAUUGUUGCAUUUAAAAAGCUCGUAGUUGAAUUUAUUUUUAUAAAUUUUAUAUAAGUAAUAUUAUUUUAUAAUAAAAUUAUUUAAAUUUAUUUUUUAUAAUUUUAUUAUAUAUUAAACGGUAAUAUUAUUUAUAAUUUAUAAAAAAAUUUUAUGUUAUAUUAUUUAGUAAUAGAUAAUAUAAUAUAAAUAUUACUGUGAAAAAAUUAGAGCGUUUAAAGCAUGUAUAUAAAAUUAAAAAAUAUAUUUUCUGAAUAUAUUUUUUUAGCUUGAAUAUAUUAGCAUGGAAUAAUAAUAUUAUAAUAUUUUUAUAUUAUUUUGUUGGUUAAAUAUAAAAAUAUAUGAUUAAUAGGGACAAUUGGGGGUAUUUAUAUUUCAUAGUCAGAGGUGAAAUUCUGGGAUUUAUGAAAGAUAAACAAAUGCGAAAGCAUUUACCAAACAUGUUUUCAUUAAUCAAGAACGAAAGUUAGGGGAUCAAAGAGGCUUAGAUACCCUCGUAG
RNAcentral lists this ribosomal RNA (549 nucleotides) under Opalinidae sp. RNAcentral describes it as "partial small subunit ribosomal RNA". It matches the Rfam family "Eukaryotic small subunit ribosomal RNA", at positions 557 to 1023 of the family's 1831-position model. The record is from RNAcentral. Lineage: Eukaryota; Bigyra; Opalinata; Opalinidae.